This 270-nucleotide unclassified non-coding RNA is filed under the name Hevea brasiliensis (rubber tree). Lineage: Eukaryota; Viridiplantae; Streptophyta; Magnoliopsida; Malpighiales; Euphorbiaceae. The record is from RNAcentral.
GAAUGAGCCAUUGCCCAGUUUGCCACCAUCAUCGUGUAUUAUUAUUCACUCGAGACCAGGAAGCCUGACAAGAUAUGGAGUUUCAAGUCCCAAAGAACGAAGGGCCCCAGCUGCAUCACCAUGAUAACCCAGCAACAGAUAUCUUUCAUUAAAUUAGAAUGCCCUAAUUUCAAAAUGACACCUUGUUAGAUUCCUCAUCUUGCAGAUCUAUAUUAUACUUUAUGGAGGGUGGCGGUGGAGAUGAUAUGAUUCUUUCGUCUAAUCAGAUAG